UUUUGCUCACUGACUUCUUUUCUGAGGAUUGGUGGCAAUUCAUGGAUUCACAUGAAAAGAGGAGACAAUUCACAGAACUAGCAUGACAUUACUUUUGUCUUCGCAGAGGCAUAUUGGCAUGUUUUGUGAAGCACUC
Molecule: small nucleolar RNA, 136 nt
Filed under: Fukomys damarensis (Damara mole-rat)
Lineage: Eukaryota; Metazoa; Chordata; Mammalia; Rodentia; Bathyergidae
Description: Small nucleolar RNA SNORA75 (ENSFDAG00000018234.1)
Source: RNAcentral